Non-coding RNA from Dipodomys ordii (Ord's kangaroo rat), 65 nucleotides. The record is from Rfam. NCBI's taxonomy places the organism in Eukaryota, Metazoa, Chordata, Mammalia, Rodentia, Heteromyidae.
GGUGGCUCAGUGGUAGAGCGCUCGCCUUGCAUGCCUGAGGCCCUGGGUUCAAUUCCUCAGCACCA